GUAGUCGUGGCCGAGUGGUUAAUGCGAUGGACUAGAAAUCCAUUGGACUCUGCCCGCGCAGGUUCGAAUCCUGCCGACUACG
Molecule: transfer RNA, 82 nt
Filed under: Saccoglossus kowalevskii
Lineage: Eukaryota; Metazoa; Hemichordata; Enteropneusta; Harrimaniidae
Description: tRNA-Ser
Rfam family: tRNA
About the family: Transfer RNA (tRNA) molecules are approximately 80 nucleotides in length. Their secondary structure includes four short double-helical elements and three loops (D, anti-codon, and T loops). Further hydrogen bonds mediate the characteristic L-shaped molecular structure. tRNAs have two regions of fundamental functional importance: the anti-codon, which is responsible for specific mRNA codon recognition, and the 3' end, to which the tRNAs corresponding amino acid is attached (by aminoacyl-tRNA synthetases). tRNAs cope with the degeneracy of the genetic code in two manners: having more than one tRNA (with a specific anti-codon) for a particular amino acid; and 'wobble' base-pairing, i.e. permitting non-standard base-pairing at the 3rd anti-codon position.
Source: RNAcentral